CGAUUUGAUGCAAGGUUAAGCAGUAAAUGUGGAGCCGUAGCGAAAGCGAGUCUGAAUAGGGCGUUUAGUAUUUGGUCGUAGACCCGAAACCAGGUGAUCUACCCAUGACCAGGUUGAAGUUCAGGUAACACUGAAUGGAGGACCGAACCGACUUACGUUGAAAAGUGAGCGGAUGAGUUGUGGGUAGCGGAGAAAUUCCAAUCGAACCUGGAGAUAGCUGGUUCUCUCCGAAAUAGCUUUAGGGCUAGCCUCAAGUGAUGAUUAUUGGAGGUAGAGCACUGUUUGGACGAGGGGCCCUUAUCGGGUUACCGAAUUCAGACAAACUCCGAAUGCCAAUUAAUUUAACUUGGGAGUCAGACUAUGGGUGAUAAGGUCCGUAGUCGAAAGGGAAACAGCCCAGACCACCAGCUAAGGUCCCAAAAUAUAUGUUAAGUGGAAAAGGAUGUGGCGUUGCC
Molecule: ribosomal RNA, 455 nt
Filed under: Staphylococcus sp. KY49P
Lineage: Bacteria; Bacillati; Bacillota; Bacilli; Caryophanales; Staphylococcaceae
Description: partial 23S ribosomal RNA
Rfam family: Bacterial large subunit ribosomal RNA
Source: RNAcentral